UAGAACUUGUGACAACCUGUACAUUGUAUUUAUUCAAUCACUUUACCCGUUCUUAUCAUUUUUGUAAUCAUUACUGUACUGUACUGUGACCAUUAGGCUGCCUCCAGUACAUAUCAACUGGGAUCGACCCAUGAUAGGCUUAUGCCCCUGGGAUACCACCCAUAAACACAUAAAUAGGGAUCGACCCAUGAUAGGCUUAUGCCCCUN
Molecule: long non-coding RNA, 207 nt
Filed under: Capsicum annuum
Lineage: Eukaryota; Viridiplantae; Streptophyta; Magnoliopsida; Solanales; Solanaceae
Description: long non-coding RNA (CANN_LNC007995)
Source: RNAcentral